RNAcentral lists this ribosomal RNA (396 nucleotides) under Ebriida sp. RNAcentral's name for it is "partial small subunit ribosomal RNA". It matches the Rfam family "Eukaryotic small subunit ribosomal RNA", at positions 582 to 975 of the family's 1831-position model. Lineage: Eukaryota; Cercozoa; Thecofilosea. The record is from RNAcentral.
AUUCCAGCUCCAAUAGCGUAUAUUAAAGUUGUUGCAGUUAAAAAGCUCGUAGUUGGAUUUCUGGUUUGAUGCCCUGGCCCGCUGCUAUUUUGGUAGUGUGUGCCGGUUGUGCGUCUGCCAUCCUUCUAGGGAACGUUCCUUCUCUUCACUGAGCCGGGUUCGUGAUCUAGAUCGUUUACUUUGAAAAAAUUAGAGUGUUUAAAGCAGGCUUUUGCUAUGAAUACAUUAGCAUGGAAUAAUAGAAUAGGACCUGGUCCUGUUUUAUUGGUUUGUCUGUAUCAGGUAAUGAUUAACAGGGACGGUCGGGGGCAUCUGUAUUCCAGCGUUAGAGGUGAAAUUCUUGGAUCGCUGGAAGACAAACAGCUGCGAAAGCGUCUGCCAAGGACGUUUUCAUUA